GUACCGUCAAAUGUAUCAGUUAUUAACCAAUACACAUUUCUUCCCCAUUGACAGAGCUUUACAACUCGAAAGCCUUCAUCACUCACGCGGCGUCGCUGCAUCAGGGUUGCCCCCCAUUGUGCAAAAAUUCCUC
RNAcentral lists this ribosomal RNA (133 nucleotides) under uncultured bacterium. RNAcentral's name for it is "partial 16S ribosomal RNA". The record is from RNAcentral.